This 537-nucleotide ribosomal RNA is filed under the name uncultured Nitrospira sp. Its description in RNAcentral is "bacterial SSU rRNA". It matches the Rfam family "Bacterial small subunit ribosomal RNA", at positions 355 to 897 of the family's 1533-position model. Lineage: Bacteria; Pseudomonadati; Nitrospirota; Nitrospiria; Nitrospirales; Nitrospiraceae. The record is from RNAcentral.
UAAGGAAUAUUGCGCAAUGGGCGAAAGCCUGACGCAGCGACGCCGCGUGGGGGAUGAAGGUCUUCGGAUUGUAAACCCCUUUCGGGAGGGAAGAUGGAGCGAGCAAUCGUUCGGACGGUACCUCCAGAAGCAGCCACGGCUAACUUCGUGCCAGCAGCCGCGGUAAUACGAAGGUGGCAAGCGUUGUUCGGAUUUACUGGGCGUACAGGGAGCGUAGGCGGUUCGGUAAGCCCUUUGUGAAAUCUCCAGGCUUAACCUGGAACAGUCGGAGGGGACUGCCGGGCUAGAGGACGGGAGAGGAGCGCGGAAUUCCCGGUGUAGCGGUGAAAUGCGUAGAGAUCGGGAGGAAGGCCGGUGGCGAAGGCGGCGCUCUGGAACGUUUCUGACGCCGAGGCUCGAAAGCGUGGGGAGCAAACAGGAUUAGAUACCCUGGUAGUCCACGCCUUAAACUAUGAAUACUAAGUGUCGGCGGGUUACCGCCGGUGCCGCAGCUAACGCAUUAAGUAUUCCGCCUGGGAAGUACGGCCGCAAGGUUGA